Oncorhynchus tshawytscha (Chinook salmon) is the source of this 3818-nucleotide long non-coding RNA. The record is from Ensembl. Lineage: Eukaryota; Metazoa; Chordata; Actinopteri; Salmoniformes; Salmonidae.
CAACGGGGAGGUCCCAGAGUACGAUAACUUUGUACUGAAUAGUCUUUGGUUCUAUCUAACAAUAGGAUGCCAACUCAUAUCCAGUCUCUUUGGUGUGGUGUGUAUUGAUGAAAAGGCUUCUGGAUACUUACCUCUGAGACCACUUUGCCAGCCAGAGCCUUGAAUGCUGAAGAGGACGGGUUGGCAAGAUCCGAGGUGAAUUUCUCAUCGAGACUGAACCGAAGAAUCAGGGUUCCUUCACUAGAAGAAGGAGGGUCAGUUGGUGCGAAAGCAGUGGUGGUUGCUGCCGGAACAGCGGUGGUGGUGGUUGCUGCCGGAACAGCGGUGGUGGUGGUUGCUGACGGAACAGCGGUGGUGGUGGUUGCUGACGGAACAGCGGUGGUGGUGGUUGCUGACGGAACAGCGGUGGUGGUGGUUGCUACCGGAACAGCGGUGGUUGUGGUUGCUACAGGAACAGCGGUGGUGGUGGUUGCUACCGGAACAGCGGUGGUGGUGGUUGCUGCGGAACAGCGGUGGUGGUGGUUGCUACCGGAACAGCGGUGGUGGUGGUUGCUGACGGAACAGCGGUGGUGGUGGUUGCUGCCGGAACAGCCUGCAGGAACAGCGGUGGUGGUGGUUGCUGCCGGAACAGCGGUGGUGGUGGUUUUGGCCACUGCCGGAGGGGUCGUGGUGACAUUUGCUAGUGUGGUGGUGGUCACAGCUGCAGUUAGAGCAGCAGUUGUUGCAGCGGAGGUGGUUGCAUUAGUCAUUGUAGUAGCGCCUGAAAAAUGCAACAUUCAAUGCAAUGUUUACAUUUUGCAAUUAAUAUUUUUUUUUUUUGAAAUAUUGGUCACAUACACGUGUUUAGCAGAUGUUACUGCGUGUGUAGCGAAAUGUUUGUGCUUCUGGUUCUGACAGUGCAGCAAUAUCUAACAAUUAAUAUCUAAAAAUUCCACAACAUAUUCCGAAAACACACAAAUCUAAGCAACGAAUGGAUUUAAGAAUAUAUAAAUAUAUGGGAGAGCAAUAUCAGAGUGGCAUAGACUAAGAAAACAGUAUAAUAUUAUAGAAUACCUUAAUAAACAUAUGAGAUGAAGUGCCUGAUCAGUUGUGUUUUGGGAUCUCAGGACAGAAUAAUAACAACAUAACUGUAUAUUUGAAUGUAUAUAUUUCCCAGUUGUCAGGGUCAUACCCAAAUUUUGGGGAACUGAUAUGAUUAAAAUUGAAACCAUUUGUGAGAAGAUGUAAUGUGAUUUUAGACUUCUUAACCAAGUCAGUGUAAGCACAGACAUUACGACAAAAGGAGGGAACACCCCUUUUCCCCCGAGUGCAUAAAACCCACUCGUGAGAAUGUACAAUUAGUCAAGAAAACGCAGGGACGGGAGUCCCCACGUUGAAAUGGCAACUACUCUAUAGAACAAGCAGACGGACAGUGUUGAACCGGACGUUGCGAAUGGUUAGGAAAUCUACAAAACUAAAGAUGCACACAUUCACAGUCUGCAACUGUAUAUGUGAAAUAGUCUAGGAAACUCGACCGAAGACGAGAGGAGAACAUUUCACAAUCAAACGACCGAAUUGUACUCUGAAAGAUCCAUUCUGGAGAACAUUUCCCUAUAGAACAACCAGUGGUACAUCUGACGUAUCCAUUGUAACAGAGCUACAACUAAGAAAGACUUUGAUCUCUGGUGGACACAGCCAGAGAAUUUCUGUCGACCGACUCUCCAGCAGACAGACCGAAGAUUUCGUCAAAGAGACAACAAGACAUACAGGCGUGAAUAUAUAUAUUGCAAUUCUUUUCAAAUGAGCGGCUGUUCAUGUGAAAAGUAUUAUCAUUUCAAUUAGCCUUUUUAUCAACUGUGUGUAGUGGGUCCCAUUAUGUCUUUCCCACUCUUUAUCUGUCCCCACCCCUGUCCAUUGUCUACCAAGCCGUCAUAUCGGUUUAGUCCACUAGGGACCCUUUAUUGCAUUGUUUUCGUAACCAAGAAGCAAGACGUCGGCGUCCGCAACAUGGCUGGUUUUCCUUUUGUUUCCUCUGGUUUUCCUUUUGUAGUCCAUGAUUGUCUGUAGACCCUGCCACAUACGCCGUUGAAUUGAGCCAUUGAAUUGUGAAUCCACUGUCUCUAUACUGACGUUUUGCCUGUUUGAUUGCCUUGUCGGAGGGAAUGACUACUCUGUUUGUAUUCUUCCAUAUUCCCAGUCACCUUCCAUGUUUAAAUGCGGUGGUUCGUGUUUUCUGUUUUACGCGAAUAGUGCCAUCUAUCCACGGUCUCUGGUUAGGGUUGGUUUUAAUAGUCACAGUGGGUACAAAAUUCCUAUACACUUCCUGAUAAACUCAGUUAUCGUUUUAGUUCGUCCAUAUUAUUCUUGGAAGCUACCCGGAAUAUAUCCCAAAACAGUCUUGAAGCAUGGAUUCCAAUUGGUCAGACCAGCAUUGAAUAGUGCUCAGCACGGGUAUUAACAGUUUGAGUUUCUGCCUAUAGGAAGGGAGCAGAAAAAUGGAGUUAUGGUCAGAUUUGCCGAAAGGAGGGCGGGGGAGGGACUGGUAUGCAUCCCGGAUGUUUGUAGUAACAGUGGUCUAGUGUUUUAGCAGCAUGAGUACAACAGUCAAAUUGCUGAUAGAAUUUAGGCAGCCUUUUUCUCAAAUUUGCUUCGUUCAAAUCUCCAGCUAAAAUAAAUGCAUCUUCAAGAUAUAUGGUUUCCAGUUUGCAUAAAGUCCAGUGAAGUUCCUUGAGGGCCAUCGUGGUAUCAGCUUGAGGGGGGAUAUACAUUUGAUUGUGAGGUAUUCUAGGUCAGGUGAACAAAAGGACUUGUAUGUUCCUCUAUGUUAUCACAAUUACAUAAUUUGUUGUUAAUCAUCAAACAUACAUCUCCUUCUUCCCAGCGAGAUGUUAAUUACUGUCGGUGCGAUGAACUGAUAAUGCAGAUUGCCUGACCAACUCCGACAGUAUAUCCCGAGAGAGCCAUGUUUCCGUGAAACAGAGUAUGUUGCAAUCCGUGAUGUCUCUCUGGAAAGAAACCCUUGCCCUAAUCUCGUCAACGUUGUUAAUCAGGGACUGAACAUUAGCAAAUAAUAUACUCUGGAGAGGUGUGUCAUGUGCGUGCCUUCUAAGAUGGACUAGAAGAACUCUCCGAGGACCCCUUUUUCACCGGCGUUGUUUUGGGUCAGCCUCUGGAAUCAGUUCAAUUGCCCUCGGUGGUGCAAACAAAGGAUCUGCUUGGGGAAAGUCGUAUUGCUGGUCGUAUGCUGGUAGUGCUGGUGAGUUACCGUCGCUCUGAUAUCUAAUAGUGCUUCCCAGCUGUAAUAAAUAACACGUACAUUUUCUGGGCUAACAAUGUGAGAAAAAAUACUGAAAAAAAAUUAACACUGCAAAGUUUCCUAAGAACGAGAAGCGAGGCAGCCCUAUCUUUCGGCGCCAUCUAGUGUUUUGAGUGUGUGAGAAUAGGUAAAGCGAUGUGUUGAUGAAUUGUCUUACGUGUGACCACAAUGGAGGAUGAAUUGAUAGGUAAUGUCAGGCCAGACGUGUUGGAAGUAAUGGCAGUUUGUAAGGUUUGUGCUACCAGGCUAUCGUUAGGCACUGAGCUGAUGUUGUUGAAUAUCAAUGUAGACUCCACCACAAUUGACCCUGACCUGAAAAUGAUAUGAGAAAUGUUAAGAACUUUUACAAGCGUUACUUCAGUAACAACCCACUCCCAAGGCAUACUAAAUAACAAUACUCAUUGAAAUGUUAUUUUUCUCCAUCAUCCACACUGUUUCAAAGUAUUUCAGAUGAUAAUCAUUUACCCACCUGAAACUAUUGACAACAGUUCGAAGGAAUCUGACUCCAAAUAGAGCCUUGAAC